AUUGAACGCUGGCGGCAUGCUUUACACAUGCAAGUCGAACGGUAACAGGCCUUCGGGUGCUGACGAGUGGCGAACGGGUGAGUAAUUCAUCGGAACGUACCCAGAGGUGGGGGAUAACGCAGCGAAAGCUGUGCUAAUACCGCAUGUGAUCGGAGGAUGAAAGCGGGGGACCGAGCAGCAAUGUUUGGCCUCGCGCCGUUGGAGCGGCCGAUGUCGGAUUAGCUAGUUGGGGGGGUAAAGGCCUACCAAGGGGAGGGUCGGUAGCUGGUCUGAGGGGACGGCCAGCGACAGUGGGACUGAGACGCGGCAUAGGGACCGACGGGAGGCAGAGGUGGGGAAUUGUGGACAAAGGGCGGAAGCCUGAUCCAGCAGUGGCGCGUGCGGGAAGAAGGGCCGCGGGUUGUAAACCGGUUUUGGCGGGAACGAAACGGUGUCCGUUAAUACCGGGCGGUAGGGACGGUACCUGCAGAAUAAGCACCGGCUACCUCCGU
Molecule: ribosomal RNA, 491 nt
Filed under: uncultured bacterium
Lineage: Bacteria
Description: partial 16S ribosomal RNA
Rfam family: Bacterial small subunit ribosomal RNA
Source: RNAcentral